Molecule: small RNA, 128 nt
Filed under: Salmonella enterica
Lineage: Bacteria; Pseudomonadati; Pseudomonadota; Gammaproteobacteria; Enterobacterales; Enterobacteriaceae
Also listed under: 2 other names
Description: partial RtT sRNA
Rfam family: RtT RNA
About the family: This family represents a bacterial cis-regulatory element known as RtT RNA. The exact function of RtT is unknown although it is thought that it may be involved in changing the cellular response in relation to amino acid starvation.
Source: RNAcentral
UGUAUCUGAAGCCUGACGAGGAUGAGAACCUCCGGGGGCAAGAGGUUCGACCCGAGCGAAGCGAGAGAACGUUGCGUCAGCAACGGCCCGCAGGGCGAGCCACGCAGUGGCGAGUCAUCCUCUAUCAC